GCCCGAGCCCAGUAAUGGGGCGAGGCGUCGCGGCGGUGUUCCUGCACGCCUUGUCGGCCUUGGAGCUAGCCUUGGCGGGGGCGGGCCGAGGCGUCGCGGCGGAGGACGAUAAGCAGACGGGCACGCGCCGCCGGCGCGCUUGCCGUGGGCGUCCGCUUCGCCCGAGCCCAGGAGUGGGGCCAGGGGUCGCGCCGGCGUUCCUACAUGCCUUGUCGCCCUUGAAGCUGGCCUUGGCGGGCCGAGGCGUCGCGGCGGAGGACGACAAGGCGGCCGGCGUGCUCUGUUGGGGCGACACGUCGCGGCGCUCCGGCUCCAGCAGAUGACGGCAGAGAGCCAGGUGUGGCUUUGUGUCGCCAACAACCACGAGGUCAUCGGCGCCGGCCACCGUGCCAGGCUGGACCAGCUGCUGCAGCCCCCCUGCGUCGUCGCCGUCGCCGUGGCACAAGAAGCGCGAGUUCCCCCUCGCUAUCGGAGGCUGGGUGUCGUUCUCUAGUGCAGAUUGUCUAAUUGAGUUUUUGAAAGCGUCGUCCACGUCUGCACUUCAUGGGUCCAUACACUGGGAACUCACGCCUGAGAACUUCCUGCUCACCAGAUUGGUUUCAGUUUCUCUGUCUCCAUCGAAGAAGUGGCAAGCAUGGUUAGGGCGAGCAACGAGGGUUCCUGUAGUGCAUAACCAUUUCAAGUCGCCCAAGUUCUAAAGAGAGAUCAGAAGUGCCAGCUACUGAAGCAAAAAAAAAGGACCUGAUACACAUUGUAAUCAUGGACUGCUGAUAUACCUGAUGCAUUUCUUCAUGAUGGUCGAUUUCUGUUCACCGGAUCUUACAUGUUUAAUUAUGUGUGCUCGGAACCAAAAACUGAUUGAGAUCUUCAGUUCUUACUUGCAGAUGUUCUGUUAUUCAGAGUGAUAUUCCUAAUGGUUGCUGCUGACGCUAAAAAAUUUACUCCUGAAGCACUAGAAGUGCCCUCUCUAUGGCGCAUCACUCACUGGAUCCAGAUGGGCAACAUUCCGCUUAAAGAUUAAAGAGUACCGUUUUUGCAUGCUAUCAUUGCUUAUCCAAGAGUAAUCUACCAUGUGCCUAAUAUAUAUACAUGAUUGUUGCACCAUCACAAGAUUUCCAUUAUAUACAUGGGCAUAACUUUCUUUACUGUGAAUUAAUCGACACGAUGCUUCUGUUUUAAGGAAUGGCAAUGCUAAAUUCUACAGUGGUACUCUCUACUCUGUCGAAUGUUUACAAACACCACAAAGCUAGAGAUCUAUUGUGGAAACCUUUCUUUCUUUUGUUUGUUAUAACUUCUUAGUGUAAAAAUAAAUAUGGCUUGUCCAUUACGAAACAAAUAUGUAAAAUUUAUUACUUUUCAAAGUUGAAUUGUUCCUGACAAUUACACAUGAGAGUGCAUAUAAUUGAGUUGUGCUGACUUGCUGUUUCUAAAAUGAUAAGCUGGAGCUGGAGUUACAUAUGAGAGUAGAGAUAAUUAAGUUGUGCUCCUGACUUGAUUAACAAAAGCUGCAGAAGAAAGGGACAAAAUACCAAAAAGCUGAAAAUUUGAAGAAAGGUGGAAGUAGGGAACUACACAACUUGAUUCAAGGUUACGAAGGGACAAAGGGCAUUGAUUGAGCAGGAGAAAACAAUAAUGGGCCGAGGCAAGGAUAUAGUGCUCAGUUAGUAAAGAGAUAUGUGGGAAGUGGAGCAGCGGGAUGCAAAUGGAAUUUUUGUGACUCACUGAAGGUGAGCAAAACUUCAGAAAAGAAAUUGCAACAGAAGUAGAGCCUCAUCACCAAGAGAACAUAGGGAUUUUAAGUUUUUUGUAGCCUGCACCGGAGACUGUAGAGUUAAGUUUCUACAUCUCAGUGUACAGUUUAACUAUAUCAGGUUAUUUACUAUGUAGUAAAUAUUUGCUUUUGCCA
Molecule: long non-coding RNA, 1906 nt
Organism: Triticum dicoccoides
Lineage: Eukaryota; Viridiplantae; Streptophyta; Magnoliopsida; Poales; Poaceae
Exons: 3
Source: RefSeq, a predicted model, not a curated record